Molecule: ribosomal RNA, 301 nt
Filed under: uncultured bacterium
Lineage: Bacteria
Description: partial 16S ribosomal RNA
Rfam family: Bacterial small subunit ribosomal RNA
Source: RNAcentral
CAGUCGCCGCGGUAAUACGUAGGUGGCAAGCGUUGUCCGGAAUUAUUGGGCGUAAAGGGCUCGCAGGCGGUUUCUUAAGUCUGAUGUGAAAGCCCCCGGCUCAACCGGGGAGGGUCAUUGGAAACUGGGAAACUUGAGUGCAGAAGAGGAGAGUGGAAUUCCACGUGUAGCGGUGAAAUGCGUAGAGAUGUGGAGGAACACCAGUGGCGAAGGCGACUCUCUGGUCUGUAACUGACGCUGAGGAGCGAAAGCGUGGGGAGCAAACAGGAUUAGAUACCCCUGUAGUCCCUGUCUCUUAUAA